CGCGUAGGUGGUAGUGUAAGUCUGAGGUGGAAUCCUAUGGCUUAACCAUAGAACUGCCUUGGAUACUGUAUUACUUGAGUCAGUGAGGGGAGGGUAGAAUUCCUGGUGUAGCGGUGAAAUGCGUAGAUAUCGGGAGGAAGGCCUGUGGCGAAGGCGGCCCUCUGGCGCUGGACUGACACUGAGGCGCGAAGGCGUGGGGAGCAAACAGGAUUAGAUACCCUGGUAGUCCACGCCCUAAACGGUGGGCACUAGGUGUAGGGCUCGUAAGGGUUCUGUGCCGAAGGGAAACCAUUAAGUGCCCCGCCUGGGGAGUACGGCCGCAAGGUUGAA
This 330-nucleotide ribosomal RNA is filed under the name uncultured bacterium. RNAcentral's name for it is "bacterial SSU rRNA". It matches the Rfam family "Bacterial small subunit ribosomal RNA", at positions 568 to 898 of the family's 1533-position model. The record is from RNAcentral.